This 154-nucleotide ribosomal RNA is filed under the name Ciborinia candolleana. The record is from RNAcentral. Lineage: Eukaryota; Fungi; Ascomycota; Leotiomycetes; Helotiales; Sclerotiniaceae.
CAACCCUCAAGCUCUGCUUGGUAUUGGGCCUCCGCCAGUAAAAUGGCGGGCCUUAAAAUCAGUGUGCGGUGCCGUUGGGUCCUGAGCGUAGUAAUUCUUCUCGCUACAGGUUCCCCGCGUGCCUCUGCCAUUAAACCCCAAAUUUUCUAUGGUU